AUACUUUCCUAGCAUGGGGUUCACCAUGAUUACCAUGGUGGUGUUCCCAGGGCAAGAGUUAUUUAUCUAUUGCACUAUGUAUGUGCUUACUCCUUUGCUUUUACCAAAUGUGGAAAAUUCACCUACAUAAUUUGUGGUAGUUGGAAAAAGUGCUUGCUAUCUCAC
This is a small nuclear RNA of Mesocricetus auratus (golden hamster), 165 nucleotides long. Its record names the gene U1. It matches the Rfam family "U1 spliceosomal RNA". Rfam says of the family: U1 is a small nuclear RNA (snRNA) component of the spliceosome (involved in pre-mRNA splicing). Its 5' end forms complementary base pairs with the 5' splice junction, thus defining the 5' donor site of an intron. The record is from Ensembl. NCBI's taxonomy places the organism in Eukaryota, Metazoa, Chordata, Mammalia, Rodentia, Cricetidae.